Molecule: long non-coding RNA, 964 nt
Organism: Daktulosphaira vitifoliae (grape phylloxera)
Lineage: Eukaryota; Metazoa; Arthropoda; Insecta; Hemiptera; Phylloxeridae
Exons: 4
Source: RefSeq, a predicted model, not a curated record
AACUUGGCAUUUUGUUUUCUCUAAAAACAAAUUAAAAGUUAAUAAACUCAAUAGUUACUUAAUACUAUUCAUUUUGCACAUUACAACGUUCGAAUGAAUAACAAUUUACAGCUUUCGUUUGUAAAUUGAUGAUCAUUAUUUCAAUAUAUAAUUGUUAAACAUAAGUAGCUUAUUACAGUAGAUAGUACUCCAUUUGUGUUUUCAAUAGACGUAUGUUCCACUUUCGAUUAUUAUUAUGACAUGUAUAAAACCAGAUAUUACACGAGUGAAUUUAGUGAUAAUCAGAUAUUUUUAGUGUUGUGACUAAAUCAUUUUUUUUUCUUCAUUAAUUAUUGAAGUGUUUAUAUUUUCGAAAAUUCUAUCAGAUAAGACGAAACAUUAAUACCACGUACCAAACAAAUUCUAAGAAUUUCAAAUAUAGUAAGAUAAGACACACACCAUCAUCUUUUUUUUUUACUGCGGAAAAAUAAUAAAAAAGAAUACGUCAUGAUGUUAUUGAAUUACUCAAUAUAUUAUAUGCAAACUCCAGUUUACCAAUUCAUGGGCCUAGUACCAUGAGACCUAGUGGUCUCCUCUAAACAAAAUUUCUUGAUUUUGCAGGGAAUUGUACAACAUGUUGUAUGUGCACUUCUACCACGAUACAUAUCCACUCCAUGUAUUAAAAUUCUAGUAAUUCAGAUACACGUUAAGCUAAUGAGAUGAAAAACAUUGGCAAAAUAAUCAUCUUUUCGCAGUGUCGGCCUGGCUCAGAAGGCCUUCAAUAAAUUUAAGAUUUUUUUUCUCGCUGGACCACUGAGAAAAUUGUCUAACAAAUUUAAUUAUUAUUGAAAAAAGGAAAGGCUAUUCAGAUAUUUUUUUCGAGGAAAUAUCAAACUGAUUUCAAUAAAUGUAUAUUAGAUUUUAAAGAAAAAGAACUUUAAAUAAAUAAUUUUUUACUCCUUAAUAUUUUUAACUUUUCUUUGAG